RNAcentral lists this unclassified non-coding RNA (330 nucleotides) under soil metagenome. RNAcentral describes it as "partial contains 5.8S ribosomal RNA, internal transcribed spacer 2, and large subunit ribosomal RNA". The stretch from base 1 to 120 matches the Rfam family "5.8S ribosomal RNA", at positions 35 to 154 of the family's 154-position model. The record is from RNAcentral.
GAUGAAGAACGCAGCGAAAUGCGAUAAGUAGUGUGAAUUGCAGAAUUCCGUGAAUCAUCGAAUCUUUGAACGCACAUUGCGCCCCUUGGUAUUCCGAGGGGCAUGCCUGUUCGAGCGUCAUUUCAACCCUCAAGCACAGCUUGGUCUUGGGCUUCGCCGCUAACCCGGCGGGUCUUAAAAUCAGUGGCGGUGCCGUCGGGCCCUGAGCGCAGUAAUAUCUCUCGCUAUAGGGUCCCGGCGGAUGCUGGCCAGUAACCCCCAAUUUUCUAUGGUUGACCUCGGAUCAGGUAGGGAUACCCGCUGAACUUAAGCAUAUCAAUAAGCGGAGGA